GGCCUCUUGUUUAUAUAUGAGGUCUGACCUGCCCGGUGAAAUUAUUUUAACGGCCGCAGUAUUUUGACUGUGCAAAGGUAGCAUAAUCAUUAGUCUUUUAAUAGGGGGCUGGAAUGAAGGGUUUGACGAGGUGUUAACUGUCUCAUUAAAUUUGUUAUUAAAAUUUGACUUUUCAGUUAAAAGGCUGAAAUUUUAUUGGAAGACGAGAAGACCCUAUAGAGCUUUAUAAUUGAAGAUUUAAUUAUUAUUUGUUUAUUAUUUUUUAUUAUUUCUUUAAUUAUUUUGUUGGGGUGACAAAAAUAUAUAAUUAACUUUUUUAUUUAAUUAACAUUGAUUAAUGAAUAUUAGAUCCAAUCUUAUUGAUUGUUAGAUUAAGUUACC
This 381-nucleotide ribosomal RNA is filed under the name Stylurus nagoyanus. Its description in RNAcentral is "partial 16S ribosomal RNA". Lineage: Eukaryota; Metazoa; Arthropoda; Insecta; Odonata; Gomphidae. The record is from RNAcentral.